UGGUGUGGGCAGGCCAUACACAAUCACUUGGAUGUGCAUUCCUCCAAAUUUUCUGGAAUUUCAGGCUGUAGCGAUGCAGUAUCCCAUGGUUCAGCUAGCAGCACCAAGAGUACAGAGCUUGUACUAGGAGUAAAAUCAAUUCCAGAUGAUACGCCAGUGUGUAGGAUACUGCUGCGGAAAGAAGUCUUACGUUUAGUGAUCAACUUGAGCAGUUCUGUAGGAACAAAGGGCCAUGAAACUGGACUCCUGACAAUUAAGGAGAAGUAUCCCCAAGCAUUUGAUGACAUAUGCCUUUACUCUGAGGUGUCCUACUUGUUAGCACACUGUACAUUUCGACUGCCAUCUCGAAGGUUCAUUCAGGAGCUAUUUCAAGAUGUACAGUUUUUACAAAUGCACGAAGAAGCAGAGGCUGUUCUAGCAACAUCAACAAAACAACCAGUAAUUGAUGCAUCAGCUGAAUCCUGACCUCUGUCUCAGGCAGUGUAUCACAUAUGGACUUACUGAAAUCCUCAAACAACCUCCAGUUGACUGGAUGUACUACUUUGGAGCAUCAUCUUCUAGACUGUUCCAGAAGUUACUGGUACCAGAAGAGUGAACUGAAAACCUUUCUUUUCCUCAACCAAUUACUGCCCCAGUCUUUUGAGCCCUUUGGGGAGUUAUUAAACAUUACCAUAGUUUUAAUAAUAAUAAUUACCAGUAUAUGUAAGAGCCAAGCACUGAACACCUCCACAAAUUUUCAUUUCAUUUUUUAACAUAAAUAAAAAA
Tinamus guttatus (white-throated tinamou) is the source of this 765-nucleotide non-coding RNA. The record is from RefSeq and is a predicted model, not a curated record. Lineage: Eukaryota; Metazoa; Chordata; Aves; Tinamiformes; Tinamidae.